ACUCAAAGGAAUUGACGGGGAGGCGCACAAGCAGUGGAGCAUGUGGUUUAAUUCGAUACAAAGCGAAAAACCUCACCAGGGUUUGACAUUGGCCUGCAAGCGCACGGAAACGUGUGACCUUCGAGGGUGGCCAACAGAUGCUGCAUGGCUGUCGUCAGCUCGUGGCGUGAGCUGUACGGUUAAGUCCGGUAACGAGCGCAACCCGCGCCAUAUGUUAAAUUAUUCAUAUGGGACAGCCCCACUUUGUGGGGAGGAAGGAGCGGAUGACGUCAAGUCAGCACGGCUCUUACACCCUGGGCUACACACAUCCUACAAUGGCGAAUAACAACGAGCAGCAAGCUAGUAAUAGCAAGCAAAUCUCUUAAAUUUCGCCUCAGUUCAGAUUGAGGGCUGCAAUUCGCCCUCAUGAAGUCGGAAUUGCUAGUAAUCGCAAAUCAGCAGGUUGCGGUGAAUACGUUCUCGCCUCUUGUACACACCGCCCGU
This 483-nucleotide ribosomal RNA is filed under the name uncultured bacterium. Its description in RNAcentral is "partial 16S ribosomal RNA". It matches the Rfam family "Bacterial small subunit ribosomal RNA", at positions 899 to 1397 of the family's 1533-position model. The record is from RNAcentral.